RNAcentral lists this microRNA precursor (90 nucleotides) under Canis lupus familiaris (dog). Its description in RNAcentral is "mir-8799 microRNA precursor family". It matches the Rfam family "mir-8799 microRNA precursor family". RNAcentral also lists the same sequence under 1 other name. The record is from Rfam by way of RNAcentral. Lineage: Eukaryota; Metazoa; Chordata; Mammalia; Carnivora; Canidae.
AGGGACUGCCGGAUCUUGGGCUGUGUCCCCAGCGCCCUGUGCUCCAGGGCCUCUGCUGUUGGAAUCCUGGUCCCAGCUGUGCAUCUUCCU